Molecule: unclassified non-coding RNA, 459 nt
Filed under: Hevea brasiliensis (rubber tree)
Lineage: Eukaryota; Viridiplantae; Streptophyta; Magnoliopsida; Malpighiales; Euphorbiaceae
Source: RNAcentral
AUUUUUUUUUUUUUUUAAUUUCUUUAAUUUUCUUCCUAAAAACCAUUUGAUUUUAAAAAUAUUUAUAUUAUAUAUGACCGAGUCAAACCAGUUGAACUGGUAAGCAGAUGAAUUCCAUGAUCACUCUAAUCUUAAAACACCAAUAAAAACAGAUCCCAUAUCCAGAUUACAGGAAAUUUACUCCUUUUUUUCCCCUCAAAAACAGUACUUAAAUGUGAGUAUGUUUUCCUAACAUUCAGAAAUUAUUUCAAAAGAUUUUAAAAGAUGGCUGAUUCCUUGCUCGAGAAAUGGGAUUUCUCCACUACUACUUUUUCCAGUCAAUGGAUGCAACAUCAAGCUCUAUUCCCUUACUUCUAGUUCUGUUCUUCAACAAUGUCUUAUACUUAAAGAGGACAAUUAAGUGGAACAACCUCAACUCAACUCAACUCAACUAAACCUUUAUCCCAAAAAUUUGGGGUC